GCAACUAAACAAUUCAAUUUGCAGUACUUAAAAACUUCAAUUUACAACAUUUAAACACUUCAAUUUGCAGCACUUUAACACUUCAAUUUACAACAUUUAAACACUUUAAUUUGCAGCACUUUAACAUCUCAAUUAACAACAUUUAUACUCCUCAAUUACAGCGAUAAAACAUUUCAAUUUCUAGCAACUAAACACUUCAAUUUACAACAUUUAAACACUCAAUUUACAUCAUUUAACACUUCAAUUUGCAGCACUUUAACAUCUCAAUUAACAACAUUUAUACACCUCAAUUACAGCGAUAAAACAUCUCAAUUUCCAGCAACUAAACACUUCAAUUUGCAGUACUUAAACACUUCAAUUUACAACAUUUAAACACUUCAAUUUACAGCAUUUAAACACUUCAAUUUGCAGCACUUUAACACUUCAAUUUACAGCAUUUAAACACUUCAAUUUGCAGCACUUUAACAUUUCAAUUAACAACAAUUAUACACCUCAAUUACAGAUAUAAAACAUCUCAAUUUCCAGCAACUAAACACUUCAAUUUGCAGUACUUAAACAGUUCAAUUUACAACAUUUAAGCACUUUAAUUUACAACAUUUAAACACUUCAAUUUAUAGCAUUUAACACUUCAACUUGCAGCACUUUAACACUUCAAUUUAUAGCAUUUAAACACUUCAAUUUGCAGCACUUUAACACUUCAAUUUACAGCAUUUAAACACUUCAAUUUGCUGCACUUUCAUACCUUCAGGUAGAAAAGAUUUUAUGCACUGUUUGUACUUGGUAGGGGUUUUCUAAAAACUGCAUCAUACUAUAUGAUUCAUACUUAC
Molecule: long non-coding RNA, 827 nt
Filed under: Gossypium barbadense (sea-island cotton)
Lineage: Eukaryota; Viridiplantae; Streptophyta; Magnoliopsida; Malvales; Malvaceae
Description: long non-coding RNA (GBAR_LNC000367)
Source: RNAcentral